This 465-nucleotide ribosomal RNA is filed under the name uncultured bacterium. RNAcentral's name for it is "partial 16S ribosomal RNA". It matches the Rfam family "Bacterial small subunit ribosomal RNA", at positions 339 to 795 of the family's 1533-position model. The record is from RNAcentral.
CUACGGGGGGCUGCAGUGGGGAAUAUUGGACAAUGGGGGAAACCCUGAUCCAGCAAUGCCGCGUGUGUGAAGAAGGCCUGCGGGUUGUAAAGCACUUUCGGUUGGGAGGACUGCUUCUAGCACUAAUAUUGUUGGAAGUUGACGUUACCUUCAGAAGAAGCACCGGCUAACUCCGUGCCAGCAGCCGCGGUAAUACGGAGGGUGCAAGCGUUAAUCGGAAUUACUGGGCGUAAAGCGCGCGUAGGCGGCUAGAUCAGUCGGGUGUGAAAGCCCCGGGCUUAACCUGGGAACUGCAUCCGAUACUGUCUAGCUUGAGUACAGGAGAGGAGAGUGGAAUUCCACAUGUAGCGGUGAAAUGCGUAGAUAUGUGGAGGAACACCAAUAGCGAAGGCAGCUCUCUGGCCUGAUACUGACGCUGAGGUGCGAAAGCGUGGGGAGCAGACAGGAUUAGAUACCCGAGUAGUC